RNAcentral lists this ribosomal RNA (253 nucleotides) under uncultured bacterium. Its description in RNAcentral is "partial 16S ribosomal RNA". It matches the Rfam family "Bacterial small subunit ribosomal RNA", at positions 524 to 776 of the family's 1533-position model. The record is from RNAcentral.
UACGAAGGGGGCUAGCGUUGCUCGGAAUCACUGGGCGUAAAGCGCACGUAGGCGGACUCUUAAGUCAGGGGUGAAAUCCUGGAGCUCAACUCCAGAACUGCCUUUGAUACUGAGAGCCUUGAGUCCGGAAGAGGUAAGUGGAACUGCGAGUGUAGAGGUGAAAUUCGUAGAUAUCAGGUGGAACACCAGUGGCGAAGGCGGCUUUCUGGACGGUAACUGACGCUGAGACGCGAAAGCGUGGGGAGCAAACAGG